RNAcentral lists this ribosomal RNA (245 nucleotides) under uncultured bacterium. RNAcentral describes it as "partial 16S ribosomal RNA". It matches the Rfam family "Bacterial small subunit ribosomal RNA", at positions 524 to 768 of the family's 1533-position model. The record is from RNAcentral.
GACGAACCGUGCGAACGUUGUUCGGAUUCACUGGGCUUAAAGGGCGCGUAGGCGGAUCACCAAGUCCGGGGUGAAAUCUUUCGGCUCAACCGGAAAACGGCCUGGGAUACUGGUGGUCUUGAGGGAGGUAGGGGCAUGCGGAACUUCCGGUGGAGCGGUGAAAUGCGUAGAUAUCGGAAGGAACGCCGGUGGCGAAAGCGGCGUGCUGGACCUCUUCUGACGCUGAUGCGCGAAAGCUAGGGGAG